GGGAAGAGAAGUUUUCAAACCCGACCCGAAAACCGGACCUGGAACCGGCGAACGUGACCUGGCCAUAUCUCCCAUUUCCGGCCACCUUUUCGGCCGAGCUUGGUACCAAUCUGAAGCUUAUAAGCCUGCCGUCGUUUCCCUACCAUCAUCUCCGCCGCAAAGCAACCGGAACGCCGGAGAUCGAAGCUUGGAAACCCGCGACUGUUUCGCUUUGUUCCGCCGGGAUUUUCUCCGAUUUUGGGUGACACCACCGGUUGGCUUUUGUUCCCCACGACUCCAUCUUCCAUUUCCGACCAUCCACUGCCGCCGGGGACAUCGUUUUACCUUUGAUCGGCCGUUGAAAAACUUACGGCUUUGGGAGCUCGAUCCGGAGCCAUCAUCGCGCGUGGAAGGUCACCACCGCCACCGUUGGAAUCAGUGUGGCCAGAACUUUCAGACUUGAGCUUCCCGUCCAGCGUUGACCAAUUCCGGUUACCGUUGACCGGCGAGGGCAUUUCGGUAAUUUCACACUAUGAGGGCAAUUUUGUAAUUUCUGAGCCUGUGGAUAUUUUAGUAAUUCCUAAAAGUGAGGAUUGAGUGUAAUUACGAUUUCGAGGGUAAUUCGGAGAUUUCCGAUUUUGAAGUAUUUUAAUGAUUUACGGACUCGAGGGUAUUUUAGUAAUUUUAUCGACACAGGAGUUGUAAAUUAUAGAUAGAUGUUCGUUUCGAGUUUAUUAUAUAAAUUUAGUCCUAAUUCUAAUUUACGAAAAAUAAUUAUGUCGUUUCCUUGAUUUAGGAGGAUCCGCGAGCGAGAACCAGUCCGCGGACGUGGACGAUAACCGAGUGUGAACACCAUCAUGUGAGUGGAAUAUACAAAACAUAUUUUCAUAGUUAAUUAUGUUAGUAAAGCAUGUUUGCGAAAUAAAUAUUUUAAAUGUUCUGAUUUAAUGAUUUCCUCGAAAUGAAUUUUAUUUACGCAUUGGUAUUUUAUUAAAAUAUUUGGUUAAUGAUUUUGUGUAUCGACUUUGAAUAAAGCAUGAUAGUAUUUUAAAGAUAAGAAAAGUGAAUUCAAAUGUGGUAUGAUUUAAAAUAUGGUUAAAAGGUAUGUGAAUAUGAGUAUAAUGAUGGUUUUUUAAAUCAUUAGACAGUACCCUUUCCCUCCAGAUACAGUGAUACAGAUGAUAUGAGAUGAGAGGCCUUUGGGGCCCGUCUGAACACACAUAGAGGCUUUGGGACGUGUGCUUGGGCGCUUUUGUCCUUUGGGGACUAGAUUAUGUAUGCACAGAUAUGAUGAGAUAUGAGAUGAUAUUUUCCUGUCUAGCCGUGUAGCUCCGGGGCGUGACGGUACCCAGAUAGUACGUCAUUGCAUGUCCAUUGAGGUCUGGAUAUGACGAGAUUAUUUCCCUGGGUACUUGUUUGGUGAUGACUUUUAGAUUUGUGUAUCCUAUAUGAUAUUGUGAUAUGAUUUCCAUUGUUAGUAAUCUAAUUUAAAUGUUAAAUGAUUUAUUACU
RNAcentral lists this long non-coding RNA (1490 nucleotides) under Citrus maxima (pomelo). RNAcentral describes it as "long non-coding RNA (CMAX_LNC000146)". The record is from RNAcentral. Lineage: Eukaryota; Viridiplantae; Streptophyta; Magnoliopsida; Sapindales; Rutaceae.